GCUUCAGAAAUCCAAACUAACAACAUAUACCUUGGCAUGGGGACUGGUGGCAACCAUCACAUGGAUACUUAUAGAAUUAAGACUAAACUAUAGUUGAGAGAAGAUGGUGUGUAACAACACUGUGUUCUGAUUCUAUACAUACUCUCCAGAUACUCUUGAACUAGUGGGCUAGAAAGUUAGGAGGUUUCUCAUUCCUUCUGAUCCUUUUGUCAGCUAAGGUUUGCAGGGUUACAGGCUUGGGCCAAGAAACAUUUUUGGAUCAAACUGGCAGUCACUGCCAAAGACAUGGCUGAGGUUGACACAGCCUUCAUCUAUGAGGUAGAGGAGUUGACUGAUGACAGACAACAAAUGAACAAAUAGGUGACAUUGCUCGGUGAACAGCACAAGUGACCUGGAAAUAAAGAAUGUCAGUAUGGAGCUCUCGGCUACUUCUCCAGCACUAUGCCUGUCCUGCUGGCCGCCAUGCUUCCUGCCCUUAUGACAAUGGACUAAGCCUCUGAAACUGACCAGAUGACAACUCAUUGAAAUAGAGCUACACAGUAGAAGGGAUUCAAGAAUAAUUUCCUGGAUAUGGUACCAAAAGCCCAGACAACAGCAAAAAUUGACCAAUGAGACUGACUCCACGAAGCUCGAGCUCCCAAUGACAACAACUGACAGGAAGGAAAGAUGACCUACAGAAGGAGGGAGAAGAUGCAAGCUAUAAAUGUCCAGGAGUUAAUGUUCCAAAUAUAUAAAAAGCCCAUAACCACAUCAAUGAAAACAGUCUGAUUUUUAACUAGACAAACAACUUAAGACAUUUCUCCAAAAAAUAUACAAAUGGCCAAAUAAACACAUGAAAAUUGUUCAACAUUAUUCAUCAUCAGGGAAAUGCAAUGAAAUAUACAGUGAGGUACCGCCUAAUAGUCACUAGAAGGAAGAGUCACUAUGAAAACAAAC
This is a long non-coding RNA of Peromyscus maniculatus bairdii (prairie deer mouse), 936 nucleotides long. RefSeq lists it as uncharacterized. The record is from RefSeq and is a predicted model, not a curated record. Lineage: Eukaryota; Metazoa; Chordata; Mammalia; Rodentia; Cricetidae.